RNAcentral lists this transfer RNA (74 nucleotides) under Hadesarchaea archaeon. RNAcentral describes it as "tRNA-Lys". It matches the Rfam family "tRNA". From Rfam's summary of the family: Transfer RNA (tRNA) molecules are approximately 80 nucleotides in length. The record is from RNAcentral. RNAcentral also lists the same sequence under 1 other name. Lineage: Archaea; Methanobacteriati; Hadarchaeota (SeqCode); Hadarchaeia (SeqCode).
GGGCCCGUGGCUUAGUCUGGGAGAGCGACCGGCUCUUAACCGGUAGGUCGAGGGUUCGAAUCCCUCCGGGCCCG